Molecule: ribosomal RNA, 299 nt
Filed under: uncultured bacterium
Lineage: Bacteria
Description: partial 16S ribosomal RNA
Rfam family: Bacterial small subunit ribosomal RNA
Source: RNAcentral
UUGCCCUACGGGACGCAGCAGUGAGGAAUAUUGGUCAAUGGCCGGAAGGCUGAACCAGCCAAGCCGCGUGAAGGACGAAGGUGGCAAGCAUUGUAAAGUUCUUUUGUCAAGGGACAAAAUCAGGCUCGAGAGCCUGACCGAGGGUACUUGAAGAAAAAGCAUCGGCUAACUCCGUGCCAGCAGCCGCGGUAAUACGGAGGAUGCGAGCGUUAUCCGGAUUUAUUGGGUUUAAAGGGAGCGUAGGUGGAUUGUUAAGUCAGUUGUGAAAGUUUGCGGCUCAACCGUAAAAUUGCAGUUGA